This is a long non-coding RNA of Oncorhynchus gorbuscha (pink salmon), 909 nucleotides long. RefSeq lists it as uncharacterized. The record is from RefSeq and is a predicted model, not a curated record. The transcript is spliced from 2 exons. Lineage: Eukaryota; Metazoa; Chordata; Actinopteri; Salmoniformes; Salmonidae.
UUAGUUCAACUGGCGUACCCCAUCAGAACCCAAAAUAUAAGCUUGUUUUACUCCAAUGUUUGUAAACAAUGCAAAUGUAAACAAAAACUGUACAGCCUAACAACAUGAUUAAAACUAUAAUGUUGAUAUCAUGGAUGGUCAAGCCCUUGCAUCCAUCGCUCUGUAUAUGAAUUAGAGUGGUUAUGUUUCUCCAGGCCCGUCCCUCAGCAUUUUACAAAAACAAAGGCAGGGUGAUGCUUUGUUAUUGUUUUGAUUUAAGGAUCCUAGCUUUAUGCUGAUCUAUAUUGGUGGUUAUGCUAGGCUUUCGAAGUCUUAAGUCUAUAUCAGUCUGUCAUUGUGUUGUUGCAGAUGGCUUGCCAGGAAAAAGACACAGAGUCCCUCAAGUCUCUUCAACCUGAACUCUGGCCUCUUCUCUCAGCAGAGCAGAACCACCUCCUUCACCUGGUGGUGCAAGAGCGGAUCACCCCCUCUGGACAGGGGAUUUAGUACAGUCCAGAUCAACUCACUACACCCCCUCGGAAUGACACAUAAUGGAACAUUCCUGUCUCUGUCUUGGUCUGUUGUAGGGCCUCUUGAAUAAUGUUUUGGUGGUGUUGCCUUUUCUAAAAAACGUGGGAACCGGACCAAGCAUGUCGUUGGACAUACUGUACAUCUUACUGCAUCCCCUGUUAUGCCUAUUAGUGGUCGCAGGAUUGCUCUCGUGGUGAAGUCUUGCAUCAAAUAGUUAUUUAUUGGAAAUAUGUUGAAUAGAUGAAAUAUGAAUGAAAAAUAUGCUUUUUUUUCUAGCGUUUUUAUUUUGUUAAUAAAUUGUAUAGUCUGAACAAACAUGGCUUAAAUUCCAAUGUAAUUACAAAACAGAAUCCCUCUACUGCAUUAUAAUAAAUGGUGAUAUUACAUACACCGCAUUGA